Molecule: ribosomal RNA, 388 nt
Filed under: Pyramimonadales sp.
Lineage: Eukaryota; Viridiplantae; Chlorophyta; Pyramimonadophyceae; Pyramimonadales
Description: partial small subunit ribosomal RNA
Rfam family: Eukaryotic small subunit ribosomal RNA
Source: RNAcentral
AUUCCAGCUCCAAUAGCGUAUAUUUAAGUUGUUGCAGUUAAAAAGCUCGUAGUUGGAUUUCGGGUGGGAACGACCGGUCCGCCGUUCUGGUGUGUGCUGGUCGGUCCCAUCUUGCUGUCGGGGACGCGCUCCUGGCCUUAACUGCUGGGACGUGGAGUCGGCGAUGUUACUUUGAAAAAAUUAGAGUGUUCAAAGCAGGCCUACGCUCUGAAUACAUUAGCAUGGAAUAACGCGAUAGGACUCUGGUCCUAUUGUGUUGGUCUUCGGGACCGGAGUAAUGAUUAAGAGGGACAGUUGGGGGCAUUCGUAUUUCAUUGUCAGAGGUGAAAUUCUUGGAUUUAUGAAAGACGAACUUCUGCGAAAGCAUUUGCCAAGGAUGUUUUCAUUG